GAGCAGAAAACACAGUAGAUGGAAAAUAGAACAGAGGUCAAAAUCUUCUGCAUAUGAAGAAGAAACACUAGAUUUAAACCUAUUUAAGAACAGAUUUCCAGGAAUGGUGUCCCUAUUCUUUAAAGCUGCAGCAUUAAUCUUUCUGCUAAUUCUGAUUCCAACCCUAUCCUUCAGGAAAAUGAAUGAACAAAAUGGAGACAAGUAAAAUUCGAAGUGACCCUCAUCCACUGGCUAUUCAGAACUGCAGCAGCUAUCCUGAGAUAAUGAAUGAACCCAUGAAGAGUGGACAAACCAGAACAAUUGGAGAUCAAAGCUCAGGAAGGUGAGAGAGUCCUGACUCAUGGGGGUGUCAAUGAGCUGCUUAAUCAUUCAACAUUGGAAAUGUCUUAUCUUUUGUAU
Non-coding RNA from Ictidomys tridecemlineatus (thirteen-lined ground squirrel), 399 nucleotides. The record is from RefSeq and is a predicted model, not a curated record. Lineage: Eukaryota; Metazoa; Chordata; Mammalia; Rodentia; Sciuridae.